UUUCUCUCACUAAACUCUCUCUUCCUCUUCUCUCUCAAGAAGAUCAACCAACCACCGUCCAUCCUAACCCCACCUUAUCUGCCACCACACUCCAUUAAAACUAGAAACGUGACCUAUUACAAACUCAAAUGACAGUGGUUGUUGUUUCGGUGGAGACGGGGUGGUUUCUGGCCGUUAAUUAUUGUUUGCAGAACCCAAAUGAUGUUGCGAUGUUGUUGGAGUUGGAGCUUCGAUUUGGUGUGUUAACUAUGAAGCUCCGGUUAACUUAGAACCCAGAUCUAUGUUAACUAACCGAGUGGCCGAUCUUCACUGAACUCAGAUCUAUGAAGCUCCAGUUAACAUAUAAUGCAUAUAUAGUUUGAUUGUUUGGCAAUAGCGUGCAAAUGUUGUUGAAUUUGUAUUCAUGAACCACUAAAGGAAACAAUAAUUUCAGUAACUUAGAUAAAGAAAUUGGAGAACUGGAAUGUUGGAAUGUUGCUUGGCUGGGAGUUGAGUUUGUUUGGAGUGAAGGAGCACAUUGUUAAUUUUUUAUUUGAUUGGAAAAUUCGAGUUUAAGAACAAAGAUGAAGAAUUCUGAGAAGAUAAAGUUUGUGAACUGGAUUUAGAGAGAGAGAGAGAGUUGAGAGAGAUAGAGAUUAAUCUUUUGUUUUAAAGUAUUUUUUUUUAAUUUUAAUUAAAUGAUUAAGUAUUUAGUUAUUUACAUACUCAGUCUUUGAACGGGUGAAAUGACAAAAUUACUCUCAUGUGACAUGAUUAGUUUUAACAGAAAAAUGUAACCGAGUUAGAAUUAAAGGAUAUAACACUAGUACACAAAAGCUUAAUAGGUGCUGUGAAAUCGAAUUGAUCAUGCGGUGUUGGAGCCGCACCAAUAGUAGAUGCACCAUUAAUUAGGGUUCUCGCCGUGAGGGCUGCCGUUGAUUGGUUAGUAAUUAGGGUUCUCGCCGUGAGGGCUGCCGUUGAUUGGUUUGGGUUCAGGGGAUCGAGAAGAAACUUUGGGAGGGAGAAGAAUUUUGCUGAAAAUUUUGGGGGAAGAAGAUUUCUCAAGACUUUAUGGUGUGCGAGUCAUUUACAAAUGGUGCUAGUCAAAUUUUGUUUGAUGGAAAUUAA
This 1107-nucleotide long non-coding RNA is filed under the name Helianthus annuus (common sunflower). Its description in RNAcentral is "hypothetical non coding rna". Lineage: Eukaryota; Viridiplantae; Streptophyta; Magnoliopsida; Asterales; Asteraceae. The record is from RNAcentral.